UACGUAGGGUGCGAGCGUUGUCCGGAAUUAUUGGGCGUAAAGAGCUCGUAGGCGGUGUGUCGCGUCGGUCGUGAAAACUUGGGGCUUAACCCUGAGCUUGCGGUCGAUACGGGCAUCACUUGAGUUCGGCAGGGGAGACUGGAAUUCCUGGUGUAGCGGUGAAAUGCGCAGAUAUCAGGAGGAACACCGGUGGCGAAGGCGGGUCUCUGGGCCGAUACUGACGCUGAGGAGCGAAAGCGUGGGGAGCGAACAGG
RNAcentral lists this ribosomal RNA (254 nucleotides) under uncultured bacterium. Its description in RNAcentral is "partial 16S ribosomal RNA". It matches the Rfam family "Bacterial small subunit ribosomal RNA", at positions 524 to 776 of the family's 1533-position model. The record is from RNAcentral.